Molecule: ribosomal RNA, 468 nt
Filed under: uncultured bacterium
Lineage: Bacteria
Description: partial 16S ribosomal RNA
Rfam family: Bacterial small subunit ribosomal RNA
Source: RNAcentral
GAUGAACGCUGGCGGCGUGCUUAACACAUGCAAGUCGAACGGUGAACACGGAGCUUGCUCUGUGGGAUCAGUGGCGAACGGGUGAGUAACACGUGAGCAACCUGCCCCUGACUCUGGGAUAAGCGCUGGAAACGGCGUCUAAUACUGGAUAUGUGACGUGAUCGCAUGGUCUGCGUCUGGAAAGAAUUUCGGUUGGGGAUGGGCUCGCGGCCUAUCAGCUUGUUGGUGAGGUAAUGGCUCACCAAGGCGUCGACGGGUAGCCGGCCUGAGAGGGUGACCGGCCACACUGGGACUGAGACACGGCCCAGACUCCUACGGGAGGCAGCAGUGGGGAAUAUUGCACAAUGGGCGCAAGCCUGAUGCAGCAACGCCGCGUGAGGGAUGACGGCCUUCGGGUUGUAAACCUCUUUUACCAGGGAAGAAGCGAAAGUGACGGUACCUGCAGAAAAAGCGCCGGCUAACUACGUG